Molecule: ribosomal RNA, 497 nt
Filed under: uncultured bacterium
Lineage: Bacteria
Description: partial 16S ribosomal RNA
Rfam family: Bacterial small subunit ribosomal RNA
Source: RNAcentral
GAUGAACGCUGGCGGCGUGCCUAAUACAUGCAAGUCGAGCGAACGGACGAGAAGCUUGCUUUUCUGAUGUUAGCGGCGGACGGGUGAGUAACACGUGGAUAACCUACCUAUAAGACUGGGAUAACUUCGGGAAACCGGAGCUAAUACCGGAUAAUAUUUUGAACCGCAUGGUUCAAAAGUGAAAGACGGUCUUGCUGUCACUUAUAGAUGGAUCCGCGCUGCAUUAGCUAGUUGGUAAGGUAACGGCUUACCAAGGCAACGAUGCAUAGCCGACCUGAGAGGGUGAACGGCCACACUGGAACUGAGACACGGUACAGACUCCUACGGGAGGCAGAAGUAGGGAAUCUUCCGCAAUGGGCGAAAGCCUGACGGAGCAACGCCGCGUGAGUGAAGAAGGUCUUCGGAUCGUAAAACUCUGUUAUUAGGGAAGAACAUAUGUGUAAGUAACUGUGCACAUCUUGACGGUACCUAAUCAGAAAGCCACGGCUAACUACGUG